UAUGGCCACAUCAUGUUGAAACACAAGUUCCCAUACGAUCACCAAAGUUAAGCAACAUCAAGCUUGGUCAGUACCUAGAUGGGUGAGUGCUUGGGAAUACCAGAUGAUGU
Acanthosepion pharaonis is the source of this 110-nucleotide non-coding RNA. The record is from the annotation of a GenBank genome assembly. NCBI's taxonomy places the organism in Eukaryota, Metazoa, Mollusca, Cephalopoda, Sepiida, Sepiidae.